CUGAGAUCAUGACCCGAGCCGAAGGCAGCAGCUUAACCCACUGAGCCACCCAGGCGCCCGCCUGAAUCCUUUCUUGAACAGAGAUUGUGCCUGUCUUAGGUCGUCAGUAGCAGAAAACAUCCUUACCCGUCAUCAGACACAAGAUAUCGAUGAUCUCUGUCCUGUCUUAGGUUGGUAUGUUUCUCUACUGAUCUCACCCGUCUUUGACUACCGAUCUAGCAUGCUUAGCCAUAUCUGGGGAGAUGUCCCAGCCUCUAUUGACAUAGG
RNAcentral lists this long non-coding RNA (267 nucleotides) under Mustela putorius furo (domestic ferret). RNAcentral describes it as "lncRNA (ENSMPUG00000030282.1)". The record is from RNAcentral. Lineage: Eukaryota; Metazoa; Chordata; Mammalia; Carnivora; Mustelidae.